GAUGAACGCUGGCGGCGUGCCUAACACAUGCAAGUCGAGCGAACGGACGAGAAGCUUGCUUCUCUGAUGUUAGCGGCGGACGGGUGAGUAACACGUGGAUAACCUACCUAUAAGACUGGGAUAACUUCGGGAAACCGUAGCUAAUACCGGAUAAUAUUUUGAACCGCAUGGUUCAAAAGUGAAAGACGGUCUUGCUGUCACUUAUAGAUGGAUCCGCGCUGCAUUAGCUAGUUGGUAAGGUAACGGCUUACCAAGGCAACGAUGCAUAGCCGACCUGAGAGGGUGAUCGGCCACACUGGAACUGAGACACGGUCCAGACUCCUACGGGAGGCAGCAGUAGGGAAUCUUCCGCAAUGGGCGAAAGCCUGACGGAGCAACGCCGCGUGAGUGAUGAAGGUCUUCGGAUCGUAAAACUCUGUUAUUAGGGAAGAACAUAUGUGUAAGUAACUGUGCACAUCUUGACGGUACCUAAUCAGAAAGCCACGGCUAACUACGUG
This 497-nucleotide ribosomal RNA is filed under the name uncultured bacterium. RNAcentral describes it as "partial 16S ribosomal RNA". It matches the Rfam family "Bacterial small subunit ribosomal RNA", at positions 28 to 507 of the family's 1533-position model. The record is from RNAcentral.